RNAcentral lists this ribosomal RNA (381 nucleotides) under uncultured bacterium. RNAcentral's name for it is "bacterial SSU rRNA". It matches the Rfam family "Bacterial small subunit ribosomal RNA", at positions 524 to 904 of the family's 1533-position model. The record is from RNAcentral.
UACGAAGGGGGCUAGCGUCGCUCGGAAUGACUGGGCGUAAAAGGCGCGUAGGCGGCUUAUACAGUCAGGCGUGAAAUUCCUGGGCUCAACCUGGGGACUGCGUCUGAUACGUAUGGGCUUGAGUGUGAAAGAGGGUCGUGGAAUUUCCAGUGUAGAGGUGAAAUUCGUAGAUAUUGGAAAGAACACCGGUGGCGAAGGCGGCGACCUGGUUCAUUACUGACGCUGAGGCGCGAAAGCGUGGGGAGCAAACAGGAUUAGAUACCCUGGUAGUCCACGCUGUAAACGAAGUGUGCUGGAUGUUGGGGUGCUUAGCACUUCAGUGUCGUAGCUAACGCGGUAAGCACACCGCCUGGGGAGUACGGCCGCAAGGUUGAAACUCAA